GGAGGGGUGUCCGAGCGGCUGAAGGAGGCGGUCUUGAAAACCGUAGAGGGUAAAAACCUCCGUGGGUUCGAAUCCCACCCCCUCCGCCA
This 89-nucleotide transfer RNA is filed under the name Clostridia bacterium. RNAcentral's name for it is "tRNA-Ser". It matches the Rfam family "tRNA". Rfam says of the family: Transfer RNA (tRNA) molecules are approximately 80 nucleotides in length. Their secondary structure includes four short double-helical elements and three loops (D, anti-codon, and T loops). Further hydrogen bonds mediate the characteristic L-shaped molecular structure. tRNAs have two regions of fundamental functional importance: the anti-codon, which is responsible for specific mRNA codon recognition, and the 3' end, to which the tRNAs corresponding amino acid is attached (by aminoacyl-tRNA synthetases). tRNAs cope with the degeneracy of the genetic code in two manners: having more than one tRNA (with a specific anti-codon) for a particular amino acid; and 'wobble' base-pairing, i.e. permitting non-standard base-pairing at the 3rd anti-codon position. Lineage: Bacteria; Bacillati; Bacillota; Clostridia. The record is from RNAcentral.